CCCAGACGGUCUGAUUUCAACCAUGCAUGUGCUUCUGGGUGAAUGCAGAUGCUGUUUGCUUCAUGUGAAUAGGAGCAAAGCCCAAGGAGAGGACACCUUCACCCUCCAACCCUUCUGAGUAAAACGGAGAUCCUAUCCCUAAAGCAAGGCUCCAAGUCAAUGGGCCUGUGCACAAUAGAAGAACAUCUGGCCUCGGGGACACGUUUACCUCUAGGCAAAGAGCAGGAGCGCAGUAUUGAGUAUUGUUGUAAACAAUACCAUUUGGAAACCUGGUUCCGCUCCUGUGAGUCCAGCAAACGCCUCAAAGACGCCCUUUUAGGAUUUCUUUAAAUUAAUCUGAGACAACGUGGGAAUACUCUCUAUAUAGUAUCUAGCCUACUGGAUAUGUGGUUUUUGUUGUUGUUGUUGUUUGUUUUAUUUUUAUUUUUGGCACGGCACUGAAGUCUGUGUAAAUAAAAGGCCCAGAUAAACUCGGCGAUGGGCCUUUCUGUCAAAACCAGGCUGGCUUUACAUGGCAAAACCAGGGCCUUACGUGUUUGGACACCUGACUUUCCAUGUCGCCCGUAAAAUCGCUGGUAGGGAAACAUUUUAAUUUAGUAGGCACCUUAUUUUUACCGAGAUGCUUAAGGCUGUCACGAGCUACUACUCUUGAUGGUAGUAGGAAAUAAACACGAGCGAUGAAAACA
Molecule: long non-coding RNA, 686 nt
Organism: Homo sapiens (human)
Lineage: Eukaryota; Metazoa; Chordata; Mammalia; Primates; Hominidae
Exons: 2
Source: RefSeq, a predicted model, not a curated record